UUUAAUCCUUUACAGGACCUAUUAGAGGGCAAGUCUGGUGCCAGCAGCCGCGGUAAUUCCAGCUCUAAUAGCGUAUAUUAAAGUUGUUGCGGUUAAAACGUUCGUAGUUGAACUUGUGCUUCAUACGGGUAGUACACCUAAAAUUUGGGUUAGUACGUCACCUUAUUGUAUGUAAGCGUAUUACCGGUGGAGUUCUUAUAUAUUAUUUUCAAUAAUAUAUUCCUCCUAUAUAAACCUGAUUCAAUGCUCUUUACCGAGUGUUGUUUUGGGCCGGUACAGUUACUUUGAACAAAUUAGAGUGCUUAAAGCAGGCUAUUAAUGCCUGAAUAUCUGUGCAUGGAAUAAUGGAAUAAGACCUCUGUUCUAAUUUCAUUGGUUUUUAGAUCAAGAGGUAAUGAUUAAUAGAAGCAGUUGGGGGCAUUAGUAUUACGACGCGAGAGGUGAAAUUCUUGGACCGUCGUAAGACUAACUUAAGCGAAAGCAUUUGCCAAAGAUGUUUUCAUUAAUCAAGAACGAAAGUUAGAGGUUCGAAGGCGAUCAGAUACCGCCCUAGUUCUAACCAUAAACGAUGCCAGCCAGCAAUUGGGUGUAGCUACUAUUAUGGCUCUCUCAGUCGCUUCCCGGGAAACCAAAGCUUUUGGGCUCCGGGGGAAGUAUGGUUGCAAAGCUGAAACUUAAAGGAAUUGACGGAAGGGCACCA
RNAcentral lists this ribosomal RNA (700 nucleotides) under Medetera grisescens. Its description in RNAcentral is "SSU rRNA". It matches the Rfam family "Eukaryotic small subunit ribosomal RNA", at positions 525 to 1169 of the family's 1831-position model. Lineage: Eukaryota; Metazoa; Arthropoda; Insecta; Diptera; Dolichopodidae. The record is from RNAcentral.